UUUGAGCAUUUCCUAACACGAGCUCUGCAUUGCUGUCUUCUGCACGGCUGCCCUGAGGACGUGGCUGCUGCAGAGUGUACGGACCCAGUCACUAAUCUGCCGGCAAUAACGUCCAUAUGAGCAUUGCCUUCCAAAACUGUUGACUACCUUUGAAUGCUUAAGGUUUUGAAUGAUCAGGCCAAAUUAAUAAAGUAAAUCAACAUCCAGAAUGUGUAACCUUUGCAGUUUCUGCAGGACAUUAGGGGUUUGCCUGUUGUUCUCUAAACUUGUUGAAGAACUUCGAUUCUGACCAAGGCAAGAAAUGCUGUUGAUAGGUUGACAUGGAAUUCAUGUGGGGACCCCGCUCAGGUCACGUACGUCGUCAGCACCAAAAGCUGUCAUUCUCAGCAUCAGCAGAGAGACAGCUAUUUGAACAGGCAGAGCCAUCCUCCAUCCUAAAAGUGUGAGUUCACGCUGGGCAAGAAUCUGCUCCGAGCUUUUAUCUCCCCAUUAAUCCUCAUUCUAACGUGAAGGCGCGUUUGCUCAGAAGUGUGUUGACAGUUAAGGGGGGGUGGGGGAAUCUGUGCUUAAAAACUCCUGAAAGGAUUUAAUCUACAGAAAUGUACCCAGUCUUGCAUUACAAAUUUUUAAAUCCCGUUAAAUGUUUUAUUUUCCAUUAUCUAAGACCAGUUCACCACCCAAUUACCUCACCCCUGGAGUAUAAUUAAUGCAUUCUUGAAACGCAGCAGAGAUCCCACUUAACGCUGGGAUUCAUGGAUUAUGCACAUCAGACUGCUUAUAGUAAGAGUACCCCGGUAUCUCUGGCACCCCCUGUAUAAAGACAGGUUCAUGGGCUCUGCCUCCCCUGUCCCCUGCUCUGGUCCAUCAGCAGGAGUUUUCUCCUGGCAGGGGGCUGCGCCUUCGUCCCCGUCCCACGGGCCGCUCCUCCCAGUCUUGUGGCAACAAUCUGCAGGGAAAGGACUGAGCUGCCCCACCGCCGCCGCUCCAGCACGGAGCCAAAGCCUGUUUGUGGGCUGGGCUGGAUCUGCGGCGGAAGGAGCCACCUCUUCUGCCAAGGCUGUCAGCCUGCCCUCUCUGUAACAAGGCUCUGAGUAGUGUGUCAGUGUGACUUGGCAAUCGCCGGGCGUGCUUCAGGCAAACGAAAAUGCUAUUUCAGGCUUUUCUUGAAGCGCCUUUCCAAUAUUCUCACUGUCACAGCUUAUUGCAGAUGCUUCUUUUAAAGGCUAGCACAACAGCUUAAAAAGAGUCGGGGAAUGAAGUGAAAAAAACCAUAUUUUAUGUUUUUCUUAAUCUAAAAUUUCUUUCUCUGAGAAUUUAGAUUCGCAUUAGGCCUUUGCUCGGAUAGAAACUACUCCUGAGCCUCCCAUAAGCGAAGUGCGUUUGGCUGAGCCCGCUCACCAGGGUUCACACGCUUUUUCUUCCUGCAGCAGCAGGACUUCCCGAGCAAGCACAGACAGAUGAGGAGGGGAAUGGCAGACAAGGCAAAGCACCCUUUUCUUUCCCUGUGCGUUCCCAAGUCUGGUAAUUACCAGCUCUGUAAGACCACGAGUGAUCACAGGAUUCAGAAGAAUACAGAAGCCAACUCCUCUAUCAGGUGCCAGGAGGGGAAAAAAAACCCACGCCACACCAAAUGAAAUGGCUAAUUUGCCACGUCAGCCACAGCUCAUCGCAGGGGCCUGCUCAUCCAUCUGUUGCCAAUUUAUCGCUGAAGAGCAAAGCGUCAGCAUCUUGAGCAGCCGAGGGCAAGAGGCAGCAUUUCAUGCAAAUCGUAAGGUCUUUGAUACAGUGAUAACUACACAAGGAUUUCAUUAGCAAGGCCUGUCCUGUUUCCCUAAGGCUGGUCAUCAUAGCAGACUUGCUAAUAAAUCUGAUCUGAAAGUUAUGCAUCCGAAGCUAAAUUACCCUUCCCAACCUCCACAAGCUUUCUGCAAAACCCAGAUGAGGCUCUAACCGCUGUUCUCCUUUUUCAAGCUUGCCUCAGGGUUAGUAUCAUAAAAAUCACAUAGGAAGGUAGAGAAAAUACAUCUUCCUGGCAGGGUACAUGCUCUGGGUGAAAGUCAGUUAAUGCAGAGAUUAAAUUCAAAACUGAUGCAUGCAUGCUAAGUCUGGAUAAUGUGAUUUGCAAAAUGAUACCGUGCUUUUAACUCAGGCUCUGGUACCUUUUGGGUGCCUGCCUGCACUGGGAGAGGAGUCUCUUGUGGACCGCUGAGAUGCCAAAGCCCUUCUUUCCCCAACCACAGACUGUAUGUGGCCAUGUCAACAAAAGCUGGUAAAGCAUCUAUUUAUUUGAAACCAAGCUAGUAGGCUAUUAAAUUCACUGGUAUUUUGGGAAUGACAAUUGGUUACUAAUGUCUCUAAUACUUCCACUGCAGCUGGCAUUUAUAUGAAUAAAGAUAUAAAUCUAGCUCUGAAUUUAGCUCAUUUCAUGCUAUGAGCAAAAAAUGUGUUUGUGGGAACUUAGUAUGACAAUGUGCAUUCACAUUACGUGAUGUAUCAGUUAUGCGAGUACCCUGGGGAGGAAAAAUGUUUUAGGAUGCGUUUAAUGGGCAAACAUCUAAAGAUAAAGAGGUAAUAAUCUUUUCCAUCUUGCAAUACUUCAAUGAAGUGCGUUUGUAAGGUAGCAGAAGAAUAUGUAUCACAGAACUGUUCAAGUGUAAUAAUGGUGAACUUUGUUACAGGUGAAAUCUCUCUCAUUCAAGUAUGAAAUUGCUGAUUUGCAGAAGGAAAUAAUGUCCCUGGCAAUCUUUACGUAAGGUCCAAAUGAUAAAUUAAUGCUUUAUAACUGGACUUUUUAGGCUUGCUGCAGAACUCCCUAGCAGGAAUACAGGUCUGGAUGAAAAGAACAAGUAAUAAUUCUUGAUAAAAUUCUGCAGACUACUUAUAAUUUCUGUGGGACUCUUUUUCUAUAAAAUUCUGGCUUCUUUUUUGUAUUAUGUGAGAUUUUUCCAUAAAUUAAUUACAAUUUUUAUAUUUCUUUUAAUUUUUUUACUGUUCUUUUUUUUUUUGUUCACAGACAUACAUACACCUUGGAGGGUAAGUGCGAGGGAUUUCACAGGAAAUGAAGGGGGUUUGUGAUGAAGGCAGUGGCCUGAAGCUCCGGAGAUCUGGACUCAGUGCCUGGCUCUGUACCAGGCCGUUUGUGUGAGCCAGGGCAGGCAGGCAGCAGCUGGCACCCAGGCGCGGCCCCGCGGGCGUGGGGAGCAGACAGGACGUGUUGGACAUGGAGCGUGGCUCUGGGCCGGGCUCAGUAGCUCCACGCUACCCCCCCCGAGCUAGGUGGGAGACGCAGCAGCAGCAGGAGCCCACCCGACCCGUCAGACCACAGCUGGUGCUUACCCAGCUUUAGGCAGCCUCACCAGCAUCCCACGGACCUGCCCCAGCUCCUGUUUAGCUGGUGGGCAGACCCACAGCUCCUCGUGCAGGUGUCACCCCCCAGCACUCGCAGGCCCCACGCAGCAGCUCCCACCCACCCUCGGUAGAGUGUGGGGGCCCUUUUACCUCUGCCCCUUCCCCAGGGAUGCGUCCCAACCACGGCGAUGUUCCAGUCACUCUCUCGUAGCCUUUCCCAACGCUCCAGCGACACCCUUAUCCCAAAGCCCGUCCCAUUGCAGCUCCCGGGUUACUCCUCCAGAUAACGCCUGUGUAAAUGGAGGCAGCCGCAGAUCACUCUUUUAUAGGGGUUAGGACUGUCAGAGGUUCAGUGUUUGCCCCCUCUUUGGCAGAGGCAAUAGAUGGAAGAGGAGGUAGAGUCAAGCAAAGGAGGCAACAAAAACAGGUGCUCAACGAGGACAGAAACAUUUAGUGAAUCGGGUCCAAGAGACAUUUCACCAUGCUCAAGGCAGAUGUUAUCAAGAAGGAUCAUUUGUAUUGGCAGUCCUUCAAAGGUUACCCUCUAACCAUGCUCAAAUCAGGGAUUUUGUCUGGCUGCCUGACAGAAGGCUGCGAAGAACAGCCCCAGCUCUCGGUCUGCCGCACGCCAGUGCGGAGCCCAGGCUGUCGCUACCCCGGUGUCCCAGGGAAGAUGCUGACAAGCUGCACCACCUUCGCUUCUGAAAAUUGCCAGAGUCAAAGGGAGGAUAUUAAUGAAGUUUGGCAUCGUGGUUACAGUUGUACUUUUUCUGAGGCCAAAAGAAUAGAAUCAAAACCAUGAGCUAAAAGAUGCACCGAGAUACUCACAGUCACUGGAACAUCGUCACCGUUCAGCAAUGUGCUUUGAUAAAGUUUUGCCCGUUGCUCCUUGUCUUGCCACAGUCCUGUCACUGCAGAGGCGUCCGGCUCAUUCUUCUUUACUCCUCACCACAACCAUCAGGAGGCAGCAGCAGACUCCAGCGCUUCCUCUCGGUACUCUGUUCCUAUAUAUAUUGCUGCGUGGCAUGGAUAUGCUUACAUGGUCAUGUGGGAAAAGGAUCGUGUCACUUGAGAAAAUGUGUAGGAGUGAAUUAUUCUCAAACAGAGACAAGAGAGUCCACAGCAGUUCACAGUUGAGCAAAGCUGGCAGGUUUUAGCAGAAAAAAAAUUGCCUGAGUUGCAUACGGUCUCUUACGCUACGUGCAGUAACAACAGAAGGGGUCUUGGGUCCCAAAAAUGCCCAAUAUUUUGAUUCAGCCAUAAAUUAAAGGCAGAUUUUACAGAUAGGAGUCUCACUCUUACACGUAAAUAGCGGCUCAAUACUGUUUCCAGCCCUUCUCCAGACUUGAGCGAGACUCUGAUCUCGGUUCCGCAAGUCCAGGGGCUUCGCUCUCCCCAUGGUUCCUUCAUGCCAAGGAGGAUGCGCUGGCAGCUGGGGAGCCUGCUCGCUGGGAUUUGGGCUGGUCCUGUGUAGCUGGUGCCGUUGUUCUCAUUCCACAGCAGAAGCCGCAGGGGAGGAAAGGGGCAACUCUUUCUCCCCUCCUGAAAGCAGAAGUGUGAGACUUGUUUCUGUGGUGGUCACUAUAUCUUGAGCAAAUGAAGGAACCGAAACCUUCUCGGAAGUCAUUAUAAAGCCUAGUAGGAAGUGCUGCAAUGCUGCUCAUAUAGUCAGCUUUCAGGAGAGCCCUUACUGUCAGACGUGAUAUGCUUCAAUUAGAAACUCAGCUUAGCAAGAAAAGCGCUCUUUAGACUGCAGGGCUGGUUCCCACAACUUAUCAGGGUGGCUCCUGUGGCUAGGUUUUACCCAGGCACACAAGAAGUAACAUAAACUCUUGCUUCACAUGCUAAUACUGCAAGGAUGGCAACUCAGAAGACAAGGAGAGUGGUGUGAUAACAGGGAAGGAUUGUCCAGCUUUUAUGGUCAGGCCUGGAACAGGGGCAGAAGCCCUAGGUGCUCUUAGGAGAUGCUCAAUAUUUUUCUUCUUAGGUCCCCAUUCCUUUCCCAGAGCCUGCAGAACCACUGAUAUAUAAUUUCCAUACGUAGCCUCCCCGAUGACAUUCAGUAACAGGGAUAAAAUGGAAGGGCGGAGGGGAAGCGCACAGCAUCCAGGAUCAUUGCAUGGUAGCAACUGGACACAACCUGGUGUGAGAGCUGCUUCUAAAUAAGCAAGAGCUGAUGUCCAAAAACCAGAAGUGUUUUGUUGAAGCCUGAAUGACUUCUAUGUCUGUCUGACCACCUCCCUGAGUAGCUGCUAGCUUUUUCUUUCAGUUUCUUUUGUGAUGUCGCAGAAGGGAGAUUUCAACGCUGCUGUCAGUUCCAGCCAUUUCUCAAGAUGCUGGGCAACAGUCAGGCCUCAUGUAGUCAAAUCUGUAAAAGCUAAUUCUCAACUGGGCUUUCUCUGUACUUGCAUAAUUUCUUGCCGCUGUUCAUUAGAGGCUUCCUGAUGUUUGUCUCAUUUUAAGAAAAUAAUCCAAGCCAGCCUAUGCAUAGAAACUCCAGAAAUCUCCGUGUCUUCCAAUGGCCUUGAGACUCAGUUCCUUUAGUUCUGCUGUGGGCUGCAGCAAAAUAAAUUGACCUCUGAAGGGAAGCAAAAUGGAGCUUGAUUUAUUUGGUCAGGGUUCAACCUUACCUGUAGCACAAUGCAGCCCUUCUCUCCGGGGCUGACUAAUAUCCACAUAAUAACAAGUGGCCUUUGCAGAGCAAGCUGAGCAGCAGCGCAGUGGCAACAGCAAGUCUUGACAGGGCUUGCUAACAAGCAAAGAGGGAGAAACAUUGGAAAUGCAGUUCGUGGCAAAAGAAGAGCUGCAAGAGAUCAGAGGAAAAGGAGACGAAAAUGAUCAGAAACACUUGAAAAUUGUACAGAUGUUAUGACAAGAGCUAUAAAAAGGAAGGCAAGGAAGGGAAAAGGCAGCAUGAAAAAACCAGCAAGUUAGCAAAGGGCGGACUGAAUUAGCUGUGUACACACAGCGGCUGCCAGAGGAAGAAAGGAGCAGAAUGCAAUGUUCUUUCUGGCCAGAGUCAGUCCAGCAUGGUAUUGCAGCAGCACACACGGAUAAAAAAUCUGGACUAGAUCCAGUAGCUGAAAAGAGAAUACAACGUGAUGGAAGCAGGAAUCCUUUUUAUAGCCAAGCUACCGUAAGGUCAGCAACUAGAUCUCUCUGUGAUCCAAUAAUUGUUAUCUGCGGAAAAUAGCCCAAGAUAAAUCUCCAUUACCUGAAGCAUAAGUGAUUCAUUGGGCUUUGGGAGAGAUGGUCAGUUCCUGAGACCAGCCUGGGGAAGCCGCGAGGUGUUUUAUUUAUAGUCAAAUAAUUCGAUUCACAAUGUUUGAAUUGUAAUUAAAGAUAAACAUUUCUCAUGGCUUCAGCAAAACUUACAACUAAUGUCAUAGUCUGUUACAGACAGUAUGGCAAACAUUUGUCAGUUUUUCCAAACAUCCUGGAACAAAAUUUAUUCAGCAAUAAUGAGAAACUUACUAAGAAAUGGACUUGUGAAAAGCAAUUGGACAUGCCACCAGUAAAAUUUCAAGCAAAGUUACAAUCUAUAAAUACUUCUCCAUUGCUAACGUGCUGAAGGUAAGAAUCAAAAUGCCAACAGUAAUUUAUUUUUUGAAAAAAAAAAUCCACUGGGCUGAAAGGCAAGAAAAAAAAUUUGCACGACUAAUUUUAGGAAUCCUGCAUUACUUUUUAAGAACCGGGCUCUCUGGCCACGGCUGAACGUUAGAGCAAGGUGCGUUCUCUACUGCAGCA
Phalacrocorax carbo (great cormorant) is the source of this 7095-nucleotide non-coding RNA. The record is from RefSeq and is a predicted model, not a curated record. NCBI's taxonomy places the organism in Eukaryota, Metazoa, Chordata, Aves, Suliformes, Phalacrocoracidae.